Oryzias melastigma (Indian medaka) is the source of this 4333-nucleotide long non-coding RNA. RefSeq lists it as uncharacterized. The record is from RefSeq and is a predicted model, not a curated record. The transcript has 2 exons. Lineage: Eukaryota; Metazoa; Chordata; Actinopteri; Beloniformes; Adrianichthyidae.
AGACAAUCAAGGCGCAGCGACAACCCAAGCUCCCCCCACCCUAAAUCAUGGAAUCAGCUAUGGGAGACCAGAGAGACUGAACUCUUUCCAAAUUACUUGAACUUUUAGCUGAUGUUUUUUCCAAACUGAUAUGAUAAAAAGCAGAUUCCUGUACUGGUUAACGUUUAUGUUUUUCUUGUUUUUCCAAUUUAACAAAAUAGUUUUUUUUCCUAUACAAAGAGUUAUGAAGAUUACAGAUACUAAUCCUCCUUCUAUAUCGAUGGCACUCAUGUCACCAAGCACACAAAGUGACGGUGAAGCUGUGAUAGAAACAUUAAGCCAGACUGAUAGAUCAGCACAAACCUGUUGCCAGAGAGCCUGGACAGGUGUGCAGAACCACAGUGCAUGCAUGUAACUGUCAGGUAAGUUACCAUCGCAGUGCUCACAUAUGUCUGAGCUUCUGAGACCCAUCUUGAACAUCCUCUGACCAGUAUAAUAAAUUCUAUGGAGGGUUUUGAAUUGGAUUAGUUGCAAGUUUGGACUUUUAGUCAGUUUAAAGGUGUUUAGACACAUUUCUGUCCAUUAGCUUUGAUCUGUGCUGCUACUCAGGUCUGCAUCCCAUUUGGUUAUUGGAAUUGAAAUGUUAUUAUCUAGGUUGCAUAAGAGUUUGUAUAUUUUGGAGAAAAUCUUAUUCAUUGAAAGUGUAAAGGUUAGUAAGCCUUUCUAAUAGGGGUGUAAGUGUUGAACUAGCCCUGGUUGUCUGACAGGUUGACGGGUCUCUGCCUGCACCUGUCAGUCUCUUCUAACUCCUUUGCCUUUGUUUGAAAAGCGUGUGGUUUGUCACCCUGGCCUGGCUUCAGAAGGUGAGUGGAUGUAGUAGAGCAGGCUUCAGAGAUAGACCCCCUUUUGGUCAGCUGAAGAGUAGUCCUGCAAUGUACCUGAAUUACGCCGGCCCCAACCCUGCCUCUAAAACAUCCAACCAGGGUGAUGGAGUGCCCCUAACCCAGAGCAAUCUUCUAACAGAGAACCACAGACUUCAGUAGUCUAUUAAACCCAAACACAAAAUAUUUAUUUAGUACCGUGAGCUGAUUUAGAUUACCCCUCUGUGGUAAAUAUAAAUAAAAAAACUGUUAUCCUUCACUGGGAAGUCCAAAUAAAACACAUUAAAACAUCAAAACCUGGUAAAUGACUUGACUGUUCAAUAUAAACAAGAAACAAAACUUGAAUCAGUAAACAAACAAAAAAACAAACCACACAAAAUGUAAUUAUCCACCUCUCCUGUGGCGUGUUAUUCGAUACGACCCUUUUAACGGAGAUUGAAUAAAUAAAAAAAAUAAAACAGAGUUUUAGAUACAACCUGAUAUGAAAUAAAAAUGAAACAAAUAAUAGGUAGGACUUGACAAUUCAAAAAUAAUAGAGUUCUUGGCCUCCUCAGACCAACCAACCUCAAAACAAAAGAACGUCGCUAUCAAUCCUCUCCCCACUGGGAGUCAGAACGCUCUAAGGAAGUGUUAGAUCAGUCUCGUGCAGUUCUUUCUGGCGGUAAAUCAGUUCAAUAGUUCAUACUCCAGACUGGUUCGCCAGUCAACUUAAGUUUUCAACAUAAAAAAAAACAGUCACGCUCGUCUCCGGGGCCUUAGUCGCUUCCCGGGCUUAAUCUGAGCGUCAGCAAAAAGAAAAUAAAAACAGUACCUUUUAUCUUGUAGAAAAGAAAGUUGUUACCAGGACGGAUCAAUGGAGAGCGAACUGCAUGGGAGGGAACUCCUUCUUCCAUAAACUGCUCGAUCUGGCUGUUCCGUCCUCACCGGGAACUGGCUCUCGUCCCCACCACAAGGGGGCUGCCGCGGCUCUCCGAAGAUCCGAUGGCUGCGGCCUGCUUUCUCUCCCACACAUGCCGGCUGUCGUCAGGCUCUGCCAACGUAACUGAAUGAAGAUAGAUUCGCCCCGGAGCUCCGACGUCCCCGCCUCGGCCAAUCCGAUGUCUGCGGCUGCCUCGUCUCCUCCACACGCCGGCUGUCCUCCCGCUCAGCUCACUCAACUGGACAGAGACUGCGCUGCCUCAACGCUCCGACGUUUCCACCUCCGGGAAGCUCGCUGAGCGCGGCCGCUCCUCUCCUCCUCACGUGCUGGCUGUCGCCCCGCUCUGCUCAUGCAGCUGGACCGAGACCGCGCCGCUCCAAACAGUUUACCACGGAGAGUCCAGGGACUGCAUUUCCAUGUCCGUUUCCUUCACUUCCUCGUCUCUGCCCUCCUAUCGUCCGACCUCCUCUCUUGCCGUUCCCGCAUUCCUCUCCCUCUUUCCGGCCCGUCCUGACGUCAUCCCCGGUCCGGCUUCAAUUUUUGUCUCCCCUUACAAAAGUUUAAAGAAAGAGGUAACUAGUUCUGGUAAUUUUAAGUCUCUAUCAUUGUAUUUAACUUUUUUAGUAAUUAUAGAUUUCAGUUGCUGGUAUUCCAAGAAGUGAUUUAUUCCAUGUUUUUCUUGUAGUUCCUGGGGUGUGAUAAAUCUUCUAUCAAUAAUUAGGUGCUCUAGUAGUGUUACGCCUCCUGCUUGCCAAGGUGGGAAGUGUAACAUCUUUUUGUUUAUAAGGAUGUCUGGGUUGUUCCAGAUGGGUGUCAUUUUACAAGGUACGACUGAGGACUUGGACACUUUGAGAAAAUCCCACCAGGCUGUUAAGGUGGUACUUAUGUUAAUACUUUGGAAACUAUCAUGUUUUUUUAUCAUUUGGCUGAUAAAUGGUAGAUCUGACAGGUUGAUCUUUCCACACAACUCCUGUUCCAAGUCCAUCCAUGUAUUAUUUCCUGGAUUAUUUCUUGACCAUUUUAAGAUGUACUGUAAUCUGAUAGCAAUAAAAUAAUUGUUGAAGUUUGGUAAUUCUAAGCCUCCACAUCUUUUUGCCGAUUUUAGAGUUUUAAGGCUGAUUCUUGCUGGUUUAUUUUUCCAGAGAAAGCUGGUUAUGGCUGAGUCUAAUGUUUUAAACCAUUUUAUUGGAGGUUGUGUUGGAAUCAUGGAGAAUAGAUAAUUAACUUUUGGCAAAAUGUUCAUUUUAAUUGUGGCUACUUUGCCCAUAAGCGACAGGGGCAGGUUGACCCAGCGAGUUAGAUCGUCUUGAAUGUUUUUCAGUAACGGGGUAUAAUUUAGCUGCACCAGUUCUGAUAGUUUGGGAGAGAAGUGAACACCUAGAUAUUUGAUAUUGCCUGAUUUGACCGGUAUUGAGAGUGAUUGCUCAGCGUUACUGUUUAGUGAUAAUAAAACUGAUUUAUUCCAAUUAAUUGAAUAUUCUGAGAUGGAGGAGAAUUUGUUAAUAAUUGUUAUUGUUUCACUUAUAGAACAUGAUUUAUUUAAAAAAAGUAAUAUGUCAUCCGCAUAGAGACUAAUUUUAUGAUUGCCAUGUUUUGUUUUAACUCCUUUAAUGUUCUCAUUCUGUCUUAUUGCUGCAGCCAGAGGCUCGAUGAAUAUUGCAAAGAGAGAGGGGGAGAGUGGACAACCCUGUCUGGUUCCUCUUCCAAGAAAAAACCUGCUGGACGUCUGUUUGUCCGUUCUGACUGAAGCAUUUGGGUUAUGAUAUAAUAUUUUAAUCCAAUCAAUGAAUGAUUCUCCAAAUCCGAACUUGUGGAGAGCAGCGAUGAGAAACUUCCAGUUGACUCUGUCGAAAGCUUUUUCAGCAUCCAACGAGAAUAAUUUUGACGUCUGCAUUGAUCAGUGAGAUGGGACGAUAGCUGGAAGGAGUUGUGGGAUCUUUCUCUGGUUUGAGAAGAAGGAUUAUAUUUGCUGAAUUCAUGUUUGGUGGAAGUAACUGAUUUUCCUUUAUAAAUGUAACCAUUUUAUAAAAAGUUUCUGCUAGCUGUUCCCAGAAUUCUUUGUAAAACUCAGCGGGAAAGCCAUCCGGCCCCGGAGCUUUGUUGUUCGGCAUAAGCAGCAGAGCAUCAUGAAGUUCAGAUGAUGAGAGCGGCGAGUCUAAGUCUUUGAUUUGAUCUUCAUUUAAUCUGGGAAGGUUUACAUUAUUAAGAAAUGAAUUGAUGCUUUGCUCUGAUGGAUUGAUCUCUGAAGUGUAUAAGUUCUUAUAAAAAUCUUUAAAAGUUUCAUUAAUUUUGAUCGGGUCAUGAGUGACAUUUCCUGACUCAUCAGUAAUAGAUGUUAUUGUGGAUUUUUCUUUAUUAAUUUUAAGCUGAUUAGCUAAAAAUUUGCCAGAUUUAUUAGAGUUUUCAAAUCUUUCUAGUCUAAGUCUUUGUAUUUGGAAUUGUGUUUGUUUGUUAAUUAUGUCGUUUAACUGAAGCCUUAGUUUUUUUAAAUCUCCCAGAAUCUGUUCUUCUGCAGAAGCAGCAUAAGCUGUCUCCAUUAUUUUUAUUUUAUUUU